Branchiostoma floridae (Florida lancelet) is the source of this 1692-nucleotide RNA transcript. RefSeq lists it as uncharacterized. The transcript is spliced from 4 exons. The record is from RefSeq and is a predicted model, not a curated record. Lineage: Eukaryota; Metazoa; Chordata; Leptocardii; Amphioxiformes; Branchiostomatidae.
UCAACAGUAUAAAAUGUAGCUUCAACGUGCGGAAGAAAGACUUCCUUGUCGACAUAUGUACAGGUGUAACAAAGUCCCUUCCCCACCUACAAUUUUCGAUGACAUUAUAAGGAAAUAUGGCGCCGUGUCUGGCUGUCGUCGUAACGUUUCUUGUGACGUUUGUGUUCCUGUGCUCUGGUCAAUCCAUCUGCAAGCCGCCGACAGAGGAGAAAUGCACGUGUAACCAGGUAGUGAAUGUCGGUACGGACGAUGGGCUCAAGUCUGAAUUGGAUCGCCUGAAAAUCGUUGUGGAGCAACUUUCACAGAAGAUAGCAAAUUUUUCAGACGACCGAGUAUCGACCCUUGAGGAACAACUGGCUCAGGAGCGAAACAGGGUGAAUAGUAUCCAGGACGACCUCACGCAUGUGCAGAAUGCCACGACCCAGAAUGUCGAGUUAGCGGGAAAACAAAAACCGUAACACCGAAACUGGGACGAGUCUUUCAAGCACAGUCACCAGCUGGUAACUAUACGUAUGACAUGGAUGAAGCAAAGCACGCAUGCGCAGAACAGGGUGCUAGCCUCGCCUCCUGUUACCAGCUGGCCGAGGCCUUUCAUGGCGGACUGGAGCUCUGCGCAUGCGGGUGGCUGUCGGACGGGACCGCCAAGUAUCCGAUGCAAGAAGACAGAGGUCCUCACUGUGGCGGUGGGCGUGGUAUCUUCACCUGUUCACACUCGAGUACUUAUAACGCCUGGUGCGUCGGUCAGCUCAGCAUCUGUGACUGAACAGCACAACAGGAAGGCGAUAAAACAGCGCUUAUGGAUGGCACAUGUGGUCCUGCUUCAUCGAUCUAUACGAAACUGUAUACAUAGAUAGAAAUAUAUAGAUAUAUGAAUUUAGAUAUAUAGAUAUAUAUGUACUUCUGUCUGUUUGAACAACAAAAUUGUAUUUGAAAAUGAUUUUAAAGAAUAAAGACCAUUGUGCUUUCCCUUAGUAUUUUUUGUCUUGUUUUAAAAGUGUCAUUAUAUUUUCUAACACCCUGUUACCCUCCAAGCAGAGGUUUGGUGACUGUUUUUUUCGUGUUUUUAGAGCUGAUUAACGGGCUUUCUCUUUUGCACCGUUUUCUUUAUGUCUCGCGACCAACCCGUGUUUAGAAAUAGCCAACACCAGUAUUAGAGUAGAAUAUUGUAUAUUACUGUUCAUUGUUACUUGUAUAUCUCCUAGUCCUAUGUAUUUGCAAUCAGCCCUCGGGCAUGAUCACUUGCAAAUUAAUUUCUUUACAAUAAAGGUUUGGACUCCCCUGUCCCAAGAAUAACUGUGGCAAUAAAUAUCAACGACGGUUUUAUUGUUUAUAAGUUAAAUGAUUGUUGUUGUUGGUGUGUUUACUAUUCGUGUUCUAACUAUGAAGAUUGUUUUACGCGAUGAAUAUUUGUAGGCAUUGCUGUCAAAAAAUGGGCGAUCUCUUAUGAGUGACUAGUGACCUACUGUAGAUGUUUCUUAUUGAUUAUCAAAAUGAGAUCCUCAUUUGCAUAAAUUGUACCAGUUGAUUAUCUUCUCUAGCUAACAAUAUGAUCAAUGUAUGAAAGUUUCACUCUUAGCAAAGAAAGCUAGUGUAGCAUUGUAAAUUAUGGAAAUGUAGCAUUUUCUCAUAAACUGUGUAAAUGAGGCACUUAUGCGAUUGCCUGAUAAUGUUCAACUUAACAAAGCUGCCAAA